Molecule: ribosomal RNA, 263 nt
Filed under: uncultured fungus
Lineage: Eukaryota; Fungi
Description: partial small subunit ribosomal RNA
Rfam family: Eukaryotic small subunit ribosomal RNA (bases 127-263)
Source: RNAcentral
GGAUCGAAGGAAUCGGUCCGCCGUCAAGGCGUGAACUGGUUUCUUCAUCCUCUUCUAUGGGAUACUCACCUUUGCUCUUAACUGGGUGAAGGUAAAAAGCGGUAGUGGCCGGGGCAACUCGACCAUUAUCGUGGGGUUCCCAUUCAUUUACUUUGAAUAAAUUAGAGUGUUCAAAGCAGGCAUAAAGGGGCCUUGAAUACAUUAGCAUGGGAUAAUAGAACAGGAUUUGUGUCCUCGUUUUGUUGGUUUCUAGGACAUGAAUA